This 1235-nucleotide ribosomal RNA is filed under the name metagenome. Its description in RNAcentral is "bacterial LSU rRNA". It matches the Rfam family "Bacterial large subunit ribosomal RNA", at positions 1564 to 2808 of the family's 2925-position model. The record is from RNAcentral.
UGAAUACGAGACGCUAAGGCGUUGAAGUAGUGUAUGUCAUACUUCCAAGAAAAGCUUGCACUGUCAUAGAUAAAAAACGCCUGUACCAUAACCGACACAGGUGGGUAGGUAGAGUAUACUAAGGGGCGCGAGAUAACUCUCUCUAAGGAACUCGGCAAAAUAACUCCGUAACUUCGGGAGAAGGAGUGCCUUAUUUAUAAGGCUGCAAUAACAAGAUCCAAGCAACUGUUUAUCAAAAACACAGGUCUCCGCUAAGUCGUAAGACGAUGUAUGGGGGCUGACGCCUGCCCAGUGCCAGAAGGUUAAAGAAGUUGGUUAGCAAUAGCGAAGCUGAUAACUGAAGCCCUGGUGAACGGCGGCCGUAACAAUAACGGUCCUAAGGUAGCGAAAUUCCUUGUCGGGUAAGUUCCGACCCGCACGAAAGGCGUAAUGAUUUGGAUACUGUCUCGGAGAGGGGCUCGGUGAAAUAGACUUGUCUGUGAAGAUGCGGACUACCUGCACCAGGACAGAAAGACCCUAUGAAGCUUUACUGUAACUUGAAAUAGAAAUUGGACUUUAUUCGCGCAGUAUAGGUGGGAGGCGUUGAUUGUAAUCUUGCGGGAUUAUUGGAGCCAUCAGUGAGAUACCACCCUUGUAAUGUUAGAUUUCUAACUUUGAAUCAUUACCUGGUCAAAGAACAGUUUCAGGCGGGCAGUUUGACUGGGGCGGUCGCCUCCUAAACGGUAACGGAGGCGUACAAAGGUUUCCUCUGAACGGUUAGAAAUCGUAUCUAGAGUGUAAAGGCAUAAGGAAGCUUGACUGUGAGACCUACAAGUCGAGCAGGGACGAAAGUCGGUCUUAGUGAUCUGACGGUACUGAGUGGAAAGGCCGUCACUCAACGGAUAAAAGUUACUCUAAGGAUAACAGGCUGAUCUCCCCCAAGAGUUCACAUCGACGGGGAGGUUUGGCACCUCGAUGUCGGCUCAUCGCAUCCUGGGGCGGUAGUACGUCCCAAGGGUUGGGCUGUUCGCCCAUGAAAGCGGUACGCGAGCUGGGUUCAGAACGUCGUGAGACAGUUCGGUCCAUAUCCGGUGUAGACGUUAGAAUAUUGAGAGGAGCCUUCUUUAGUACGAGAGGACCGAGAAGGACAUACCUCUGGUGUACCAGUUAUCGUGCCAACGGUAAACGCUGGGUAGCUAUGUAUGGAGUGGAUAACCGCUGAAAGCAUCUAAGUGGGAAGCCCACCUCAAGAUAAG